CUCAUUUGAAAUUUCAUAAAUAAAAAAGAAAAUUUCUUCAAACAUUUGUUUGAGAGGAUUAAUAUUCAACAGCAUAGUGAAUUGCUCUAAGAGAAAAAAAAAAUUUUAAGUUCAUUAGAACACAUUCAUUCUGUGUCAGAAACCUAUGCUGUGUCAACUAUUUAAUCACAAUCCAAAUUUAGAGCUGAAUCCAGCUUGAAUGUUGUGUCCAUACUUGCCCCAACCGUUCAGGGUUCAACCUCUGCGGUCGUAUAAAGCUAUGCCCUGCGGAGCAUCUGGUUAUUGUUCUAAUAAUUAUGACUAGAAAUGUCCCGGUGUUGUUUGUUUGGUUUUUUUUUUU
This 340-nucleotide long non-coding RNA is filed under the name Mytilus galloprovincialis (Mediterranean mussel). The record is from RNAcentral. Lineage: Eukaryota; Metazoa; Mollusca; Bivalvia; Mytilida; Mytilidae.